This 651-nucleotide ribosomal RNA is filed under the name uncultured Methanogenium sp. RNAcentral describes it as "bacterial SSU rRNA". It matches the Rfam family "Archaeal small subunit ribosomal RNA", at positions 1 to 659 of the family's 1478-position model. Lineage: Archaea; Methanobacteriati; Methanobacteriota; Methanomicrobia; Methanomicrobiales; Methanomicrobiaceae. The record is from RNAcentral.
UUUCCGGUUGAUCCUGCCGGAGGCCACUGCUAUCGGGGUUCGAUUUAGCCAUGCGAGUCGAGAGGGUUUAGACCCUCGGCGGACUGCUCAGUAACACGUGGAUAACCUGCCCUAAGGUGGAGGAUAACCCCGGGAAACUGGGGAUAAUACUCCAUAGAUUAGAGAUACUGGAAUGUUCUUUAGUCAAAAGUUCUGGCGCCUUAGGAUGGAUCUGCGGUCGAUUAGGUUGUUGUUGGGGUAACGACCCAACAAGCCUGUAAUCGAUACGGGUUGUGGGAGCAAUAGCCCGGAGAUGGAAUCUGAGACAAGAUUCCAGGCCCUACGGGGCGCAGCAGGCGCGAAAACUUUACAAUGCAGGAAACUGUGAUAAAGGAACCCCGAGUGCCCGUAUACGCGGGCUGUCCAGGUGUUUAAAAGUCAUCUGAAGAAAGGGCCGGGCAAGACCGGUGCCAGCCGCCGCGGUAAUACCGGCGGCUCGAGUGGUGGCCACUAUUAUUGGGCUUAAAGCGUCCGUAGCUGGACUGAUAAGUCUCUUGGGAAAUCCGCCGGCUCAACCGGCGGGCGUCUAAGGGAUACUGUUGGUCUAGGGACCGGGAGAGGUGAGAGGUACUCCGGGGGUAGGAGUGAAAUCCUGUAAUCCCCGGGGGACCA